RNAcentral lists this ribosomal RNA (752 nucleotides) under Micarea sp. RNAcentral's name for it is "SSU rRNA". It matches the Rfam family "Bacterial small subunit ribosomal RNA", at positions 387 to 1123 of the family's 1533-position model. Lineage: Eukaryota; Fungi; Ascomycota; Lecanoromycetes; Lecanorales; Micareaceae. The record is from RNAcentral.
UAUAGCGAUUGCGUAACUGUGUUCAUUCCACAAAAUAGAUGAAGCAGUCUCGAUUUAAUCGAAUAAAAUUCUGGAUAAAACUAUGAUAAUGACAUUAUUUAUCCAUGAGUCUUGACCAAAUUACGUGCCAGCAGUCGCGGUAAUACGUAGAAGACUAGUGUUAUUCAUCUUUAAUAGGUUUAAAGGGUACCUAGACGGCAUUUUAAGCCUUAACAGGUACUGAUUUGCUAGAGUUACUUAUGAAGAAGUUCUAAUGUACUAGAGGUGUAGAGAUAAAAUUCAGUGAUACCUUUUUUCUAACGAAAAAUUUCGGCACAGGUAUAGGUGAAAACAUCUUCUUAUGGGAUAACUGACGUUGAGGGACGAAGGCUUUUUAUAGCGAACAGGAUUAGAUACCCUGGUAGUCAAAGCAGAAAAUGAUGAGUGUCAUAGAUUAGAUAAAAAUUUAUUCUAUAAAUGAAAGUGUAAGCACUCCACCUCAAGAGUAAUUUGGCAACAUUGGAACUGAAAUCAUUAGACCGUAUCUGAAACCAGUAGUGAAGUAUGUUAUUUAAUUUGAUAAUCCGCAAAAAACCUUACCACAACUUGAAUAUUUAUACACUUACUUUUAUUACAUGGUUUAUAUCACCAUGUUAAAGAAAAAAGGUAAAAUUAUAUAGAUACAAGUGUUGCACGGGCUGUCUUCAGUUAAUGUCGUCAGACUAUGGUUAGCUCCAGUAAAUUAACGUAAACCCUUGCUCUAGUUUUAAAUA